AUCCAGCUGACGAGUCCCAAAUAGGACGAAACGAGCGUCAGACUGGU
This 47-nucleotide non-coding RNA is filed under the name Schistosoma mansoni. Lineage: Eukaryota; Metazoa; Platyhelminthes; Trematoda; Strigeidida; Schistosomatidae. The record is from RNAcentral.